UUCCAUUUAGCUCAGUCGGUAGAGCAUGAGACUCUUAAUCUCAGGGUCAUGGGUUUAUGCCCCAUGUUGGGCA
RNAcentral lists this transfer RNA (73 nucleotides) under Neotoma lepida (desert woodrat). It matches the Rfam family "tRNA". Rfam says of the family: Transfer RNA (tRNA) molecules are approximately 80 nucleotides in length. Their secondary structure includes four short double-helical elements and three loops (D, anti-codon, and T loops). Further hydrogen bonds mediate the characteristic L-shaped molecular structure. tRNAs have two regions of fundamental functional importance: the anti-codon, which is responsible for specific mRNA codon recognition, and the 3' end, to which the tRNAs corresponding amino acid is attached (by aminoacyl-tRNA synthetases). tRNAs cope with the degeneracy of the genetic code in two manners: having more than one tRNA (with a specific anti-codon) for a particular amino acid; and 'wobble' base-pairing, i.e. permitting non-standard base-pairing at the 3rd anti-codon position. Lineage: Eukaryota; Metazoa; Chordata; Mammalia; Rodentia; Cricetidae. The record is from Rfam by way of RNAcentral.